Molecule: ribosomal RNA, 396 nt
Filed under: uncultured Anaerolineaceae bacterium
Lineage: Bacteria; Bacillati; Chloroflexota; Anaerolineae; Anaerolineales; Anaerolineaceae
Description: bacterial SSU rRNA
Rfam family: Bacterial small subunit ribosomal RNA
Source: RNAcentral
CCUUACAGGGUUUGACAUGCAAGUGGUAGGAAGCCGAAGGUGACCGACCCUUCGGGGAGCUUGCACAGGUGCUGCAUGGCUGUCGUCAGCUCGUGUCGUGAGAUGUUCGGUUAAGUCCGCUAACGAGCGCAACCCUCGCUGUGUGUUAUAUGUGUCACACGGGACUGCCGGUCUUAAGCGAGGAGGUGGGAUGAUGUCAAGUCAGCAUGGCCUUUAUAUCCUGGGCUACACACACGCUACAAUGGCCAACACAAUAGGUUGCUAAGCCGCGAGGUGGCGCUAAUCCCACAAAGCCGAUCGUAGUCCGGAUCGCAGUCUGCAACUCGACUCGCGUGAAGUCGGAAUCGCUAGUAAUCGUGGAUCAGCCAUGUCACGGUGAAUACGUUCCCGGGUCUU